ACAUUGCAAGUCGAGCGGCAGCGCGAGAACAAUCCUGGCGGCGAGCGGCGAACGGGUGAGUAAUGCUUCGGAAUCUGCCCAGUAGUGGGGAACAACCAGUCGAAAGACUGGCUAAUACCGCAUACGACCUAAGGGUGAAAGCAGGGGAUCGUAAGACCUUGCGCUAUUGGAUGAGCCGAAGUCGGAUUAGCUAGUUGGUGAGGUAACGGCUCACCAAGGCGACGAUCCGUAGCUGGUCUGAGAGGACGACCAGCCACACUGGGACUGAGACACGGCCCAGACUCCUACGGGAGGCAGCAGUGGGGAAUAUUGGACAAUGGGGGAAACCCUGAUCCAGCGACGCCGCGUGUGUGAAGAAGGCCUGCGGGUUGUAAAGCACUUUUAGUGGGGACGAAACCCCCGACGUACUACGUCGGAAUUGACUUACCCAAAG
Molecule: ribosomal RNA, 433 nt
Filed under: uncultured bacterium
Lineage: Bacteria
Description: bacterial SSU rRNA
Rfam family: Bacterial small subunit ribosomal RNA
Source: RNAcentral